UGGAUAUUGUGAAUAUUGUUUACUUGU
RNAcentral lists this small RNA (27 nucleotides) under Bombyx mori (domestic silkworm). Its description in RNAcentral is "ovarian small RNA-34643". The record is from RNAcentral. Lineage: Eukaryota; Metazoa; Arthropoda; Insecta; Lepidoptera; Bombycidae.